GACGAACGCUGGCGGCGUGCUUAACACAUGCAAGUCGAACGGAAAGGCCCUGCUUUUGUGGGGUGCUCGAGUGGCGAACGGGUGAGUAACACGUGAGUAACCUGCCCUUGACUUUGGGAUAACUUCAGGAAACUGGGGCUAAUACCGGAUAGGAGCUCCUGCUGCAUGGUGGGUGUUGGAAAGUUUCGGCGGUUGGGGAUGGACUCGCGGCUUAUCAGCUUGUUGGUGGGGUAGUGGCUUACCAAGGCUUUGACGGGUAGCCGGCCUGAGAGGGUGACCGGCCACAUUGGGACUGAGAUACGGCACAGAGUCGUACGGGAGGCAGCAGUGGGGAAGAUUGCACAAUGGGCGGAAGCCUGAUGCAGCAACGCCGCGUGCGGGAUGACGGCCUUCGGGUUGUAAACCGCUUUCGCCUGUGACGAAGCGUGAGUGACGGUAAUGGGUAAAGAAGCACCGGCUAACUACGUG
This 468-nucleotide ribosomal RNA is filed under the name uncultured bacterium. RNAcentral describes it as "partial 16S ribosomal RNA". It matches the Rfam family "Bacterial small subunit ribosomal RNA", at positions 28 to 507 of the family's 1533-position model. The record is from RNAcentral.